Molecule: unclassified non-coding RNA, 347 nt
Filed under: uncultured fungus
Lineage: Eukaryota; Fungi
Description: partial contains small subunit ribosomal RNA, internal transcribed spacer 1, and 5.8S ribosomal RNA
Rfam family: Eukaryotic small subunit ribosomal RNA (bases 1-73)
Source: RNAcentral
GCAAACUUGGUCAUUUAGAGGAAGUAAAAGUCGUAACAAGGUUUCCGUAGGUGAACCUGCGGAAGGAUCAUUAUUGAAUAACUUGGUGUUGAGCUGGCCCUAGUCGGGCAUGUGCUUGCAUCAUAUUAUUUAUCUAUCUCUUGUGCACCUUUUGUAGUCUUUGAAGUGUUCGCAGUCAGUGCGGUAUUGGGUCUUGGGCUUGCCCUGUUCCCUGUUUAGCUUCAAGGGCUAUGUUUAUAUACACUAGUCUGAAGUCACAGAAUGUAUCUUAUUGACUCUUGAGUCAGUAAAUCUAUACAACUUUCAGCAACGGAUCUCUUGGCUCUCCCAUCGAUGAAGAACGCAGC